GAUCAUGGCUCAGAUUGAACGCUGGCGGCAGGCCUAACACAUGCAAGUCGAGCGGAUGAAGAGAGCUUGCUCUCUGAUUCAGCGGCGGACGGGUGAGUAAUGCCUAGGAAUCUGCCUGAUAGUGGGGGACAACGUUUCGAAAGGAACGCUAGUACCGCAUACGUCCUACGGGAGAAAGCAGGGGACCUUCGGGUCCGUUGCGCUAUCAGAUGAGCCUAGGUCGGAUUAG
This 229-nucleotide ribosomal RNA is filed under the name uncultured bacterium. Its description in RNAcentral is "partial 16S ribosomal RNA". It matches the Rfam family "Bacterial small subunit ribosomal RNA", at positions 15 to 244 of the family's 1533-position model. The record is from RNAcentral.